Molecule: non-coding RNA, 28 nt
Filed under: Bombyx mori (domestic silkworm)
Lineage: Eukaryota; Metazoa; Arthropoda; Insecta; Lepidoptera; Bombycidae
Source: RNAcentral
UGAAACACACAAAGAUUGCUAUGUACAC